Molecule: ribosomal RNA, 492 nt
Filed under: uncultured bacterium
Lineage: Bacteria
Description: bacterial SSU rRNA
Rfam family: Bacterial small subunit ribosomal RNA
Source: RNAcentral
GGCGGCGUGCCUAACACAUGCAAGUCGUACGAGAAAGUUGGCUUCGGCCAAUGAGUAAAGUGGCGCACGGGUGAGUAACGCGUGGAUAAUCUGCCCUUCAGCGGGAAUAACCCAUCGAAAGGUGGGCUAAUACCCCAUAACACUGUUUUACAACUGUCAAACAGUCAAAGAGAGCCUCUGCUUGCAAGCUUUUACUGAAGGUUGAGUCCGCGUACCAUUAGCUAGUUGGUAGGGUAAUGGCCUACCAAGGCGACGAUGGUUAGCUGGUCUGAGAGGAUGAUCAGCCACACUGGAACUGAGACACGGUCCAGACUCCUACGGGAGGCAGCAGUGAGGAAUCUUGCGCAAUGGGGGAAACCCUGACGCAGCAACGCCGCGUGAGUGAGGAAGGUCUUCGGGUCGUAAAGCUCUGUCAGGCGGGAAGAAAUGCAUGGAGGUGAACAGCCGCCAUGCUUGACGGUACCGCCAGAGGAAGCACCGGCUAACUCCGUG